This 495-nucleotide ribosomal RNA is filed under the name uncultured bacterium. Its description in RNAcentral is "partial 16S ribosomal RNA". It matches the Rfam family "Bacterial small subunit ribosomal RNA", at positions 30 to 507 of the family's 1533-position model. The record is from RNAcentral.
UGAACGCUGGCGGCGUGCCUAAUACAUGCAAGUCGAGCGAACAGAUGAGGAGCUUGCUCCUCUGACGUUAGCGGCGGACGGGUGAGUAACACGUGGAUAACCUACCUAUAAGACUGGGAUAACUUUGGGAAACCGGAGCUAAUACCGGAUAAUAUAUUGAACCGCAUGGUUCAAUAGUGAAAGACGGUUUUGCUGUCACUUAUAGAUGGAUCCGCGCCGCAUUAGCUAGUUGGUAAGGUAACGGCUUACCAAGGCAACGAUGCGUAGCCGACCUGAGAGGGUGAUCGGCCACACUGGAACUGAGACACGGUCCAGACUCCUACGGGAGGCAGCAGUAGGGAAUCUUCCGCAAAGGGCGAAAGCCUGACGGAGCAACGCCGCGUGAGUGAUGAAGGUCUUCGGAUCGUAAAACUCUGUUAUUAGGGAAGAACAAAUGUGUAAGUAACUAUGCACGUCUUGACGGUACCUAACCAGAAAGCCACGGCUAACUACGUG